Molecule: long non-coding RNA, 453 nt
Filed under: Homo sapiens (human)
Lineage: Eukaryota; Metazoa; Chordata; Mammalia; Primates; Hominidae
Description: HSALNT0298625
Source: RNAcentral
UGAUCAUCAGAGAGCCAGAAUGAAACAACCACAUAAUAAGGCAGAUAUUGGAAAUUCUUAAAAUGAUGAGCGUCUUCCCAAACUGGAAAUAAUUGAUGAGGAAUAUUUUAAACCCUGGAAGCAAAGAGAUUUCAAAAGGAGAUGCAAUUUUAAAGACACUCAUCUAUGGAGUGCCCCAAAUGCACUAGGACUGCACAGGCUGUGUGGGGAACUCAAGGUUGAAAAAGAUAUAUCCUUGGCCCUCAGGAAGACUACAGCCAGGUGCUGGAGUCCUGCCAUGCCCUUCCAUGCAGCUGGCUGGAUACCACAUGGUUCUUCGGCUCUCAUCUAGACUCUUAUGUCUGUUCUCAAUUGAUUCAAAACUCAGAGAGUGUAAAGGGGACCAUAACGAUGUCUACAUCCCAGGGCUGUCGCGAGUGAGAUCAUCCAACCAAGCACUUUGUACAACGUCUG